RNAcentral lists this transfer RNA (77 nucleotides) under Thiohalophilaceae bacterium. RNAcentral's name for it is "tRNA-Arg". It matches the Rfam family "tRNA". From Rfam's summary of the family: Transfer RNA (tRNA) molecules are approximately 80 nucleotides in length. Their secondary structure includes four short double-helical elements and three loops (D, anti-codon, and T loops). The record is from RNAcentral. Lineage: Bacteria; Pseudomonadati; Pseudomonadota; Gammaproteobacteria; Thiohalomonadales; Thiohalophilaceae. RNAcentral also lists the same sequence under 1 other name.
GUCCUCGUUGCAUAACUGGAUAAUGCAAUCCCCUCCUAAGGGAUAGAUUACAGGUUCGAGUCCUGUCGAGGACGCCA